GACAGAGGUGCCAAGCGUUAGGCGGAAUCACUGGGCUUAAAGCGUGUGUAGGCGGGUGCCUAAGUACCUUGUGAAAUCCCCCGGCUCAACCGGGGAACGGCUGGGUAUACUGGGUGCCUUGGGUCAUCUAGGGGCUGCCGGAACAAAUGGUGGAGCGGUGAAAUGCGUAGAUAUCGCCUGGAACGCCGAAGGUGAAAACAGUCUGCUGGGGGUGUGCCGACGCUGAGACACGAAAGCCAGGGGAGCGAACGGG
This 253-nucleotide ribosomal RNA is filed under the name uncultured bacterium. RNAcentral describes it as "partial 16S ribosomal RNA". It matches the Rfam family "Bacterial small subunit ribosomal RNA", at positions 524 to 776 of the family's 1533-position model. The record is from RNAcentral.